Molecule: ribosomal RNA, 480 nt
Filed under: uncultured bacterium
Lineage: Bacteria
Description: partial 16S ribosomal RNA
Rfam family: Bacterial small subunit ribosomal RNA
Source: RNAcentral
AACGAACGCUGGCGGCGCGCCUAACACAUGCAAGUCGAGCGAUGCAACUGUAACUGAACCCUUCGGGGUGCAGAUAAAGUGGAUUAGUGGCGGACGGGUGGGUAACACGUGAGGAACCGGGUUCAGACAUUGGGAUAGCUCCGGGAAACCGGGAUUAAUACCAAAUAAAAGCACAAUGACACAUGUCAUAACGAUCAAAACUCAGGUGGUCUAAGAUGGACGCGCGUCCGAUUAGCUAGUUGGUAGAGUAAAAGCCUACCAAGGCGACGAUGGGUGGCAGGGCUGAGAGGAUGAGCGGCCACACUGGAACUGAGAAACGGUCCAGACUCCUACGGGAGGCAGCAGUGGGGAAUAUUGCACAAUGGGGGGAACUCUGAUGCAGCGACGCCGCGUGAGCGAGGAAGGCUUUCGAGUCGUAAAGUUCUUUUAUAUGGGAAGAUAAUGACGGUACCAUAAGAAUAAGCCCCGGCUAACUCCGUG